RNAcentral lists this ribosomal RNA (465 nucleotides) under uncultured Klebsiella sp. RNAcentral describes it as "bacterial SSU rRNA". It matches the Rfam family "Bacterial small subunit ribosomal RNA", at positions 338 to 795 of the family's 1533-position model. Lineage: Bacteria; Pseudomonadati; Pseudomonadota; Gammaproteobacteria; Enterobacterales; Enterobacteriaceae. The record is from RNAcentral.
CCUACGGGUGGCUGCAGUGGGGAAUAUUGCACAAUGGGCGCAAGCCUGAUGCAGUCAUGCCGCGUGUGUGAAGAAGGCCUUCGGGUUGUAAAGCACUUUCAGCGGGGAGGAAGGCGGUGAGGUUAAUAACCUCAUCGAUUGACGUUACCCGCAGAAGAAGCACCGGCUAACUCCGUGCCAGCAGCCGCGGUAAUACGGAGGGUGCAAGCGUUAAUCGGAAUUACUGGGCGUAAAGCGCACGCAGGCGGUCUGUCAAGUCGGAUGUGAAAUCCCCGGGCUCAACCUGGGAACUGCAUUCGAAACUGGCAGGCUAGAGUCUUGUAGAGGGGGGUAGAAUUCCAGGUGUAGCGGUGAAAUGCGUAGAGAUCUGGAGGAAUACCGGUGGCGAAGGCGGCCCCCUGGACAAAGACUGACGCUCAGGUGCGAAAGCGUGGGGAGCAAACAGGAUUAGAUACCCUUGUAGUC